GACGGAGGGAGAGACCUUGGCGGCGGGAUAUGUGACGUCAUCGGCCAGCUGUUCUUGUUGUUGUGGGAAUGGUUGUUGGAACGCUCUGCCUCCGUUCUAAAAAUAGACAUCGAAUUUACGGUCGCUAUAAAGAGGUUCAGAGACACCACCUGUGUGAAGGCUGCUGAUGUAUGUGGUGGGACAUCAAAACUGGCCAAGGCUCAUGAAGGUGUUAUGAGUUGCAUUUGAAGACGACGGAUUCAAGGGAAUAGUCAGUGUCAAUAGUGAGUCAAUUCAUUAUCAUACAGAUUUACAAUGAGAGACUGAUUGUCACCGUUGCUAUUUUGUGGCCGUAUUUUUUGGUGAAUGUUACAAGACUGAAUUUUUGAGAUUAUAUAUAUGGCGAUCAGUGGUGUCUGAUAUAAUUGUCGAUUGAAGAUGGUCUAUAUAUCACUAUAUAUCAUGCUCGGAAGAUAACGCCUGCAUUUCGAUGUUAUAACCUCGCCUUGAAUUUAUUUGUGUGCAUUUUGUAUUUUGAAAAGAGAAAAAGUAAAAAAAUCAGUGAACGAUCCUGUGUGGGAAAAAUCUGGUUUAAAACUACAGCGUGUCCAAAAUCCGAUUACACUAUCGCGUGUCCUUUUGAAUAAGUGAUUGAUAGUGAUGGAAGAUUACUGCAGAGUGUGGGUAGUGCACCGAUAGUGAAGCAACACCAGCGAAGGAUAGUGGAAUAGGAUAGUUUGUGACAUAUUCACUGAAUUGAGUUUUUGGGGGGACCCUGUAUCGUCAGACAGAAGACGUCGAAUGGCUGUGAUGGGUCGCCACGCAGAGGAUUCUUCUGUUCUUUAAGAUUUGGUUGCCUUGGAGUGGCUGUCUUAAUGAGGGACGUCGAAAAGAUUUCCAUCCUUCCAACACUUUAGAAGACUAGUCAACGUCUUGCAGAGCGGCCAAGAGUCCUCUGAAUUUGAAGAUUAAAACCUCCUCCAACCCCUUGUCAACUGAAUCACACACCUGAAAACAAAAGAAACCAAGAUCAUUCAUUAAAAAAAAUAAUAAUAAAGUGUUUUCACGCUAGCAGCCGUAAAGCCAAGUCGUCAGAAGAGGGGAAAAAUAAAGCUGCUUUAUGUCGUACAUGUGACUCUUAAAGCAACAACAUUCUUAGCCCCCCUUAAACACCAAUACCGCCUUUGCCACUUUCUGUGAUAUUCUGUGUCCUUGUGAAUGAAAUAGAGAAGAAGAAGAAGAAGAAGAUAAAAAGAAGCCUUUUUUCUUAAUAUAUAAAAAUAAUAUAUUCCUCUUCCCCCUCCCAUUUGCUGUUACUCGGUGACUUAUUCCUUCGGCAUAUAGUGUGGUCAUUUACUUGAGAAAAACAUUAAACUAAAAAAAAAAAAACUACAAAUUGAAGAGUAACGCUUUACCUACCAAAUUAAGCUAUGAUUAAAGACCCCACACUUCACAGCUGCCUUAUAGAUAUUUGAAAAGUGACAACAAUUAUUAUUCCUAAUAAUAAUACCUAGUAAUUAGCUAGCUUCCAAUUGCUAAUCCGGAAAGACAUCUCCCAGUCAAAUCCACUUUAUAGUAAACCUCAAUCUUUUACAUACAUACACACAUCUAUAAACACGCAAGGAAGAUAUCACCAGCGCGCAGAAGACGUCGCUAUCUUGCUAUUGCGCAAUCCUAGCAACCCAGAACAAUUACUCUCCAGUAAGCCUGCGCAAAUCGCCAAAAUGGGUCGCAAGAAGAUUCAGAUUUCGCGCAUCACAGACGAACGCAAUCGCCAGGUAACUUUCACAAAGCGCAAGUUCGGUCUUAUGAAAAAGGCCUACGAGCUCUCGGUUUUGUGCGAUUGCGAGAUUGCGCUUAUCAUCUUUAACUCUAGCAACAAACUCUUUCAAUAUGCCUCCACUGAUAUGGACAAGGUGUUGCUCAAAUACACCGAAUACAAUGAACCACAUGAGUCCAGGACUAAUAACGAUAUAGUAGAGGCUCUGAACAAGAAAGAACACAAGAAUGGCUUGCAGUCUCCAGAUUCCCCCGACCCAGAUCAGGAAUACUCUCUCACUCCCCGGACAGAAGCCAAAUACAACAAAAUUGAUGAGGAAUUCACGUUGAUGAUGCAACGCAAUCAGAUCAACGGAAGUCGGCAACCAGUAAACCUUAAUAACUACAAUAGUAUGGCAGUCACAGUGCCUGUCAACAAUACGGGUUAUGACCCAGGACUGAUGCAGCCCUCACCUCAGAUGUCACACGCAUCUCUGUCGCCACGUCCUGGAUCUUCUAGUGGAAUGCUUGAUAUGAAUGGCUCGAAUGGAUACCCUGGCUCAACUUCCCCUCUUCCACAUGGAGGUGCACCUUCCCCUGGACUCCUCAGUCGGCCACACUCCUCCAAGACCCAUUCACCAACCAGACCAAAUUUGCGAGUCCUCAUCCCAAACUCUCAAGCACAGACGACGCCUCGACCUGGAUCACCAUCUUUGAAUACUCCUGUUGUUUCACUCCAGACAGCUGCUGGCGGUAAUUCAUCAAUGACGUACUCCUCAAUGAACUCAUUUUCUCAUCAGGAGUUUCCGUUGAAUAAUGACAUCUCUCUCAACCCCAUAAAUUCUCUGCACUGGAAUCCAGGGUCAAUAGGCAUGUCGCAUUCUGGGUUACCACACCUUAGUGUCAGUUCCUCAACGCCACCUCCGAGAUCCUCUCCGCCUGUUACGAUAAAAUCAGAGCCUAUCAGUCCUCCUCGGGAUCCUAACUGUAUCCCUUCAUCACAUCUGCAAAGACCAGGAUCCACAGACCCUGGACACUUAUCACCUGCUCCACCAUCUCAUUUGGGUCCCUCUUCCAACCACCCAGGACACUCCGUGUAUAGUAAUUCACUCUCAGAAUCUGGCAGAGCUGUACUUAUGAAUCAACUUUCAUCUGGUCAACAAUACAUUGCUUUAUGUAACACAUCCUGGCAUCCACUUUCAUAAGUUAUGGGCAGUAAUAUUUAACCUUUGUUCUACUAGAAUUGCAUGGAGAUACACAAGGCCACUUGACUCCCACAUCACACGCAUCACCUGAAGGAGCUCACCACAGUGAUUAUGAUACACCCUUGAGCAAACGACCGAGAAUAACAGAGGGAUGGGCCACAUAGUGAGGUGCAAUAAGGGCCACCACGUGCACCAGUGAAAGGACACUUAGUGCUGCGUGAUCAGUGCCUGGCAAGCAGGGGACGCCGUCCCCAGGGCCAUUGUAGCCCUCACAAUCGUGUCCCUACUGCCUCUGCCUCUACGGACCACAACGGUUGUUAACUGUACAAAAAAACAAAAAACAAAAAAAAAAACAAACAAAAAAAAAAAAAGACUUGGGGAGCAGUGUGUUUGUGUCCUUUGCCAUGUGUGAGAGAGCCAGUGCUGCACUAUUGUAACAGUGCCAUUUGAGGAGCUGCAGCCCUGCUCCCCGGCCUCCUGUGUUUGUGAAUCACAUUCCCUUACUCCCUUCAGCCAGUCCUGCCCCAGCAAGCCUAUCUGUAACAGUCCCUAACCACUCAGGACGGGCAAAGGUGAAGUCAACUGUAAACCUAUUUCAACCUUGGUAAUAAAUGGUUGAAGACUGAGGAACACUUUGCGGAGAUAGGAGAAUUUCUCCACAACAUUUGAAAUGAGGAUGAAGAAAAUGUCUUUCCUAGUUCAGACCACUUGUUAUGUGGCUUGGGUACGACAAAGUUUCAUUGUCUUCAGCCAACAGAUAUUUGGAGUAAAAUUACAAAAUUGUUCUGCUCACUUCCUAAACGAGAUGGCUUAGGGAUCAUUUGUUUCCUGAAGGGUCAUUUAUUACCCACUGCCAAUACUGCAGAUCACAUCAGUCUGUCACCACCACCUUUUUGUACUUGUUAGUUCUGGCUCAAUGUAAAUAAGCAAAAGACAUGAUUAUUUUUACUCUUUGUACAUAUUGGCCUAUAUGAUAAGAUUGCCUGGUACCUGGUGUGUGGUGGUGUUGCUGCCGGAGGCGAGAGGUUUAACAGUAACAUGGUUUUGCCUCCUCACCAUCCCAUACUGCCGCCCUCUGUACCUCUCGUAUGGUCUUUCUUUGUACCUUGUGCCUCACCUUACUGUGUAAGAAGUUGUAGACUCUAGUAACUGUGGACAGUAGUGCGUGGCCUGUGUGAGCUGCGCCAUGGUGUAGUGGUGGCAGAAUGGGAAUGGCAGACUGGUAGUGACAUUUGUUGGCAUCACUAGGCUCUGUAUGUGUGCCUUGCUGGCCAUCAUUCCUUCAGUGCCAGGUGGCCCAAUUUGACUGCCACUGAAAAACUAUCCAUGGCAGCUACCACCAGCCAUGGGGCUCACAGGAAGGAGGAGGAGUCAGCUGUACCAUACCAAAUACAACACUCUCUGUCGAUACAUUAGUAAAAGUAAAAAAGUAAAAAAAAAAAAUAAAAAUAAAAAAAAUUUAGACUGUGUUGACUUACCAUUGUUUGUAUAAAUACAAAGUCUAGAUUCUUAAUAAUUUAUAUGAUACUGGUACUGUAUAAUUCUUCAAGAAAUGUUUAUAGUUAUAUUUGAUUAUAAUAAAUCAAAAACACCUAGUUUCUAAGCAAAGACACUAAAACCAUUACCCUAAGAAUAUGUUGCACCUUGUCGUGGCGUGAUCACCGUUUACCACAGGCCGGCGUGCUGGGGCACAGCGGGACUGGGGGGGUUUUGGGACCCAGAACAUCCACUUCCUGAAAACCUCUUGAGUUGAAUAAAAACAAAUAAAAAAUAGGCACAUAAAUUCUUUUUGAAGAAAAGAGGUAUAUCAUUUGGUGGAUUUUGUAUAUGCUUCAAAUGAUCUGAAUUUAUUAACAAGCACUUGUGUUACAGAGAAAAGAGAAAGUUAUUUUUAAUUAAAAAUUGUAAAGUGUACAAAUGUUAUAAAUAUUACCAAUAUCUGUGAUGUAUACUGUAUAGUGCAAUUCAAUGGGUAAUGGUGUAACCAAGGAGUGUAAAGAUGAAUAUUUUAUUAAAAUAUUGAGUGCACACAAGUGAUAGGAUAUUGUAAGUUAAUGUUACUGGUUUGAUGGUAAUCACUGAUAAGUUGGCUACUGGUUUUGAGUUUUAUCCCUCCUUAUUGGGUUGACUCAGGUAUCAAGGUUUACUUAAGGGUUUUCACGUUUAGUGCUAGUGUACAAUGAGUACCACUUUGGUGUAUGCUGAAUUUUUGACAGGGAACAUAUUUUGGCCAUGUAUCAUGGUUUAUUUUCUUUGAAGAGAAAAUUGUAGGAUGUGUAAUCUUCCCAGUCUGAAGGGAUAAAACAUAUCUUCGUUCUUGAACAGCAGUGAGGUCAUAAGUUUUUUCUUUUUUUUAUGCCAUGUCCAGCAGUCCCCCAGAUCCCCCCACCCACCAGCAGCCCCCCGUCCUUAUGUUCUGAGAACAAGUUACAUGUUUGUGUAGAAUAAGUAUACUAUUAAUAUUUUUUUGUUAGUGAAAUAGAAAGCAUAUUGUGUGAAAUUUGACAUGUUAUUCAAUAAAUACUGAAUAACAUAGA
Macrobrachium nipponense is the source of this 5479-nucleotide RNA transcript. It is a transcript of the gene named myocyte-specific enhancer factor 2-like, with no coding region annotated. The transcript is spliced from 12 exons. NCBI's taxonomy places the organism in Eukaryota, Metazoa, Arthropoda, Malacostraca, Decapoda, Palaemonidae. The record is from RefSeq and is a predicted model, not a curated record.